CUUACACAUGCAAGUCCAGGGGCAGCAUGAGGUAGCAAUACUUUGGUGGCGACCGGCGCACGGGUGAGUAACGCGUAUGCAACCUUCCUUUUACAGGAGGAUAGCUUCCGGAAACGGAAAUUAAUACUCCAUACAAUUACGAAGUGGCAUCACUUUCAGAUUAAAGCUACGGCGGUAAAAGAUGGGCAUGCGUAACAUUAGCUAGUUGGUGAGGUAAGGGCUCACCAAGGCGACGAUGUUUAGGGGUCCUGAGAGGGUUAUCCCCCACACUGGUACUGAGACACGGACCAGACUCCUACGGGAGGCAGCAGUGAGGAAUAUUGGUCAAUGGGCGCGAGCCUGAACCAGCCAUCCCGCGUGCAGGAAGACGGCCCUAUGGGUUGUAAACUGCUUUUCUGAGGGAAGAAUAACGCUGAUUCGUUCAGUGGACGACGGUACCUCAGGAAUAAGCAUCGGCUAACUCCGUGCCAGCAGCCGCGGUAAUACGGAGGAUGCAAGCGUUAUCCGGAUUCAUUGGGUUUAAAGGGUGCGUAGGCGGACUGGUAAGUCAGUGGUGAAAUCCUGCAGCUUAACUGUGGAAUUGCCAUUGAAACUGUCAGUCUUGAGUCAGGUUGAGGUAGGCGGAAUGUGUAAUGUAGCGGUGAAAUGCGUAGAUAUUACACAGAACACCGAUUGCGUAGGCAGCUUACUGGACCUGCACUGACGCUGAGGCACGAAAGCGUGGGGAUCAAACAGGAUUAGAUACCCUGGUAGUCCACGCCGUAAACUAUGAUUACUCGUUGUUGGCAAUACCAUCGUCAGCGACCAAGCGAAAGCGAUAAGUAAUCCACCUGGGGAGUACGCUCGCAAGGAGUGAAACUCAAAGGAAUUGACGGGGGGGCCCCGGCACAAGCGGUGGAACAUGUGGUUUAAUUCGAUGAUACGCGAGGAACCUUACCUGGGCUUAAAUGUAGACUGCAUAGCGUGGAAACAUGCUUUUCUUCUUAGACUGGUUUACAAGGUGCUGCAUGGUUGUCGUCAGCUCGUGCCGUGAGGUGUCGGGUUAAGUCCCAUAACGAGCGCAACCCUUAUCGUUAGUUGCCCAUCGGGUAAAGCCGGGGACUCUAGCGAAACUGCCACCGUAAGGUGAGAGGAAGGUGGGGAUGACGUCAAAUCAGCACGGCCCUUAUGUCCAGGGCUACACACGUGUUACAAUGGUUAGAACAAAGGGCAGCUACCUGGUGACAGGAUGCUAAUCUCUAAUCUGGCCGAAGUUCGGAUCGGAGUCUGCAACUCGACUCCGUGAAGCUGGAAUCGCUAGUAAUCGCGCAUCAGCCA
RNAcentral lists this ribosomal RNA (1317 nucleotides) under uncultured organism. RNAcentral's name for it is "bacterial SSU rRNA". It matches the Rfam family "Bacterial small subunit ribosomal RNA", at positions 48 to 1354 of the family's 1533-position model. The record is from RNAcentral.